CCUGGUAGUCUCGGAGUAGUAGACGUUUCCAGUCGGACAUCAGCAGCCGCGAGCUAAGCACGUUGUCACAAAUUUUACCUGUUUCGCUUUUAUUGUUCGAGCUUUGCUUCGGCACUUGCCCAGUCGGUUGUCCCUCAGUUGGCGAACUCGGUUGACAUAAACAGGCGACUCAUGAUUUCCGUGAGGCUGCUGAGAGAAAAGUGAGUUGAUGCCCGAUAAAAAAUAAGAUUGUGGUGGGGGAUCGAGACACCAGAUACUGCCCAGCAAACGCCAACAACUUUAUGUCAACAAGACAGAUGCGAUAGUUAUUCAGUUUAUGGACGAGAUCUACAAGAGCUUUUUUGCACAUGGCGUCGUUAAAUUGAAACCAACAGUAUUGAACUAUUUACUGCUGGAUAGUAAAUUUCUCUAUUGUAAAAUUGAUACAAACUGGAAAAUGAGGAAAUUCAAAGUCAAUUACCUGAAGAAGAUCCGGAAGUUGUGACACCUGGUGACUGAUGACUAAUGUGCGACUUCCUGUACGUAUACUGAAUGUAUCCUGAGUGUAUUCCUGUCCGGUAUACCUUCAGUAUACGUAACAGGAGGCUGCACUGAUCUCCGAUGGAUUCUGCUGCUAUUCGUUCUUUUUAUUUGUUGAGGCAUGCUAUUUAUCUUAAAUAAUUUAUAUUUGUGUAAUAUGACUUUUUAUGCACUGAAAAAAGUUUUUACUCGAUGACAGAAAAUUUUUUCUGAAAUCAACAAAUUUUUUCUUUAAUCAAAAAAAUUUUUCUUGGUUCAAGAAAAUUUUUACUCAUCUCAAGAAAAUUAUUUCAUGAAUCAACAAUUUUUUUCUUGAAUCAACAAAUUUUUCUUUUAAUUAAAAAACUUUUUCUUGGUUCAAGAAAUUUUUUCAUGACUCAAGAAAAUUUUUUCUCAAACUAAACAAUUAUUUGUUGAUUCAAGAACAUUUUUACUCGCCUCAAAAAUAUUUUUUCUUGAAUCAAAAAAUUUUUUCUUUAAUCAA
Microplitis mediator is the source of this 1003-nucleotide long non-coding RNA. RefSeq lists it as uncharacterized. The transcript is spliced from 3 exons. The record is from RefSeq and is a predicted model, not a curated record. NCBI's taxonomy places the organism in Eukaryota, Metazoa, Arthropoda, Insecta, Hymenoptera, Braconidae.